This is a long non-coding RNA of Vidua chalybeata, 482 nucleotides long. RefSeq lists it as uncharacterized. NCBI's taxonomy places the organism in Eukaryota, Metazoa, Chordata, Aves, Passeriformes, Viduidae. The transcript has 4 exons. The record is from RefSeq and is a predicted model, not a curated record.
AUAAGUUGCCCUCUGGAAAUGCAUCUCUCUGCUGGGUGUUCAGGGAGCUAAAAUGACUGGCUCAGACCUGAGGCUGCCUCUCAGGUGGAUAGAGUUAGACAUUUGAGACUAUAAAAGCUGAAACACCAGCAGAUGGAGACAAACCCUGUUAUCAAACCAGCCCAGUUGAGCAGGACCUGUAGGAUUUGCAGCUUUUCUCCAGGAAGCUGAGGUGGAAAUCUGAAGGAAGAACACCUUUUAUGAAAUGUGAAACAUGAAAAAAGUCAUAAGUGGAUCCAGAACCAUUUUGCUUCCAUGAAAUGCCAAAAGAAGAAGUUUCCUUGCUGUCCAUAUCAUCUCUUCUUUGCUGGCCAGGGAGGAUGAUGCUGAAGACGUCUCUGUUUGAUCAGUUGAAUUUCCACCCAUACAGCUGGAUUUUUGUCCUUUGGUUGAGGCUGGAGCUUUGCUUACUUCUUCAGAGACUGCCCUAACCAAGGUCAGCA